GACGUAGGGGGCGAGCGUUGUCCGGAUUUAUUGGGCGUAAAGAGCUCGUAGGCGGUUUGUCGCGUCGGCCGUGAAAUCUCCACGCUUAACGUGGAGCGUGCGGUCGAUACGGGCAGACUUGAGUUCGGUAGGGGAGACUGGAAUUCCUGGUGUAGCGGUGAAAUGCGCAGAUAUCAGGAGGAACACCGGUGGCGAAGGCGGGUCUCUGGGCCGAUACUGACGCUGAGGAGCGAAAGCGUGGGGAGCGAACAGG
RNAcentral lists this ribosomal RNA (253 nucleotides) under uncultured bacterium. RNAcentral's name for it is "partial 16S ribosomal RNA". It matches the Rfam family "Bacterial small subunit ribosomal RNA", at positions 524 to 776 of the family's 1533-position model. The record is from RNAcentral.